UGGCCGGCGUGCCUAAUACAUGCAGUCGAGCGGAUCUUCAUUAGCUUGCUUUUGAAGAUCAGCGGCGGACGGGUGAGUAACACGUGGGCAACCUGCCUGUAAGACUGGGAUAACUUCGGGAAACCGGAGCUAAUACCGGAUAAUCCUUUCCCUCUCAUGAGGGAAAGCUGAAAGACGGUUUCGGCUGUCACUUACAGAUGGGCCCGCGGCGCAUUAGCUAGUUGGUGAGGUAACGGCUCACCAAGGCGACGAUGCGUAGCCGACCUGAGAGGGUGAUCGGCCACACUGGGACUGAGACACGGCCCAGACUCCUACGGGAGGCAGCAGUAGGGAAUCUUCCGCAAUGGACGAAAGUCUGACGGAGCAACGCCGCGUGAACGAUGAAGGCCUUCGGGUCGUAAAGUUCUGUUGUCAGAGAAGAACAAGUACCGGAGUAACUGCCGGUACCUUGACGGUACCUGACCAGAAAGCCACGGCUAACUACGUGCCAGCA
Molecule: ribosomal RNA, 493 nt
Filed under: Mesobacillus jeotgali
Lineage: Bacteria; Bacillati; Bacillota; Bacilli; Caryophanales; Bacillaceae
Description: bacterial SSU rRNA
Rfam family: Bacterial small subunit ribosomal RNA
Source: RNAcentral